This 570-nucleotide long non-coding RNA is filed under the name Rattus norvegicus (Norway rat). RNAcentral's name for it is "long non-coding RNA NONRATT019089". Lineage: Eukaryota; Metazoa; Chordata; Mammalia; Rodentia; Muridae. The record is from RNAcentral.
GGCCAGGGUGACCACCAACUAGACUGAGCUGGGGCGAACCCGGGGCCGGGGCACCGGGCAGCAGUCGUUGUUCCAGCCGCCACCGUGACUGGGCUAGGCUCGCCAGCGCCGAGCCCGCCUGGAUCAGACCUUGGGCGUCCGGCGGCGGGUCUGCGGCCGAACGGAGGGAGCAGGCAUCAUCAGUGUGAACUCAAGUCUCCGGCCAUGCAGCUACAGGCCCUGAUCCAAAAGGACCGCCCCAUGCCACAAAGAGAGCCACCCGAGUUUUCAUGGCAUCCGGCUGGCGGCCUCUGACGUGCAUCCUUGACAACAAGAGUUGCUUGUUAAUCUCCCAGGGAGGAUCCCUUUCCUUAUAGGAGGGCCAGGCUGAGUGGGUCAGGGCUGGCCGUGUCCGGACUAUGCCGUCCAAGUCCGCUUGCCUGCGUCACACGGAGGCACCUGGGCAGCUAGAAGGCAGAAUGCUCCAGGGACAGCUUUCGAACCCCGAAAAGAAGCUCAUCCCAACAUCAGCCUCCUUACCAGCUGCUGACUCUCAGAGUUCACAGACAAACUCCAUGCCUCCUUUAAGCA